RNAcentral lists this ribosomal RNA (505 nucleotides) under uncultured bacterium. RNAcentral describes it as "partial 16S ribosomal RNA". It matches the Rfam family "Bacterial small subunit ribosomal RNA", at positions 28 to 507 of the family's 1533-position model. The record is from RNAcentral.
GACGAACGCUGGCGGCGUGCCUAAUACCUGCAAGUAGAACGCACAGUUUAUACCGUAGCUUGCUACACCAUAGACUGUGAGUUGCGAACGGGUGAGUAACGCGUAGGUAACCUGCCUGGUAGCGGGGGAUAACUAUUGGAAACGAUAGCUAAUACCGCAUAAUAUUAAUUAUUGCAUGAUAAUUAAUUGAAAGGUGCAAUUGCACCACUACCAGAUGGACCUGCGUUGUAUUAGCUAGUAGGUGAGGUAACGGCUCACCUAGGCGACGAUACAUAGCCGACCUGAGAGGGUGAUCGGCCACACUGGGACUGAGACACGGCCCAGACUCCUACGGGAGGCAGCAGUAGGGAAUCUUCGGCAAUGGACGAAAGUCUGACCGAGCAACGCCGCGUGAGUGAAGAAGGGUUUCGGAUCGUAAAGCUCUGUUGUAAGAGAAGAACGGGUGUGAGAGUGGAAAGUUCACACUGUGACGGUAUCUUACCAGAAAGGGACGGCUAACUACGUG